Molecule: ribosomal RNA, 493 nt
Filed under: uncultured Acetobacteraceae bacterium
Lineage: Bacteria; Pseudomonadati; Pseudomonadota; Alphaproteobacteria; Acetobacterales; Acetobacteraceae
Description: bacterial SSU rRNA
Rfam family: Bacterial small subunit ribosomal RNA
Source: RNAcentral
GUGGCGGACGGGUGAGUAACGCGUAGGUAUCUAUCCUUGGGUGGGGGACAACUGUGGGAAACUACAGCUAAUACCGCAUGAUAACUGAGGUUUAAAGGCGCAAGUCGCCUGAGGAGGAGCCUGCGUACGAUUAGCUAGUUGGCGGGGUAAAGGCCCACCAAGGCGACGAUCGUUAGCUGGUCUGAGAGGAUGAUCAGCCACAUUGGGACUGAGACACGGCCCAAACUCCUACGGGAGGCAGCAGUGGGGAAUAUUGGACAAUGGGCGAAAGCCUGAUCCAGCGAUGCCGCGUGUGUGAAGAAGGUCUUCGGAUUGUAAAGCACUUUCGACAGGGACGAUGAUGACGGUACCUGUAGAAGAAGCCCCGGCUAACUUCGUGCCAGCAGCCGCGGUAAUACGAAGGGGGCUAGCGUUGCUCGGAAUGACUGGGCGUAAAGGGCGCGUAGGCGGAUGGCACAGUCAGAUGUGAAAUUCCCGGGCUUAACCUGGGGAC